UCGGUUAGUCCGCUAACGAGCGCAACCCUCGCUGUGUGGUUACAAGUGUCACACGGAACUGCCGGGUCGAUAAACCGGAGGAAGGUGGGGAUGACGUCAAGUCAGCAUGGCCUUUAUAUCCUGGGCUACACACACGCUACAAUGGGAAGGGACAAUAGGUUGCGAAGCCGCGAGGCGGAGCCAAUCCAGCAAAACUUCCCUCAGUUCAGAUUGCAGGCUGCAACCCGCCUGCAUGAAGUUGGAGUUGCUAGUAAACGCAGGUCAGCCAUACUGCGUUGAAUACGUUCCCGGGGCUU
This 296-nucleotide ribosomal RNA is filed under the name uncultured Anaerolineaceae bacterium. RNAcentral describes it as "partial 16S ribosomal RNA". It matches the Rfam family "Bacterial small subunit ribosomal RNA", at positions 1074 to 1382 of the family's 1533-position model. The record is from RNAcentral. Lineage: Bacteria; Bacillati; Chloroflexota; Anaerolineae; Anaerolineales; Anaerolineaceae.